RNAcentral lists this long non-coding RNA (2655 nucleotides) under Gallus gallus (chicken). The record is from RNAcentral. Lineage: Eukaryota; Metazoa; Chordata; Aves; Galliformes; Phasianidae.
UUGUAUUCUUUCAGUGCACUUUAAAACUCUCAGCUCUUGGGAAUGAUGUUUCCAUGAGGGUUGAAUGUAAUUACAAAAUAAUAUAGGUACUCUGUCUUAUUUUCUGUGAGUGAUACUUCAGUCCUCGCUGUUGUUACUGCAUGUGUUUAUUUUGGGGCUCUUCCUUCAGUGUACUUGAUGCAAGGUAUUUGCAAAUAUGAGCCUUUGGGCUUUAAAUGUGCUGCUUCUUCUGUUUCUUAUUCACUACAGAUUAUGUAUAAUUGAUGACCUGCAUUUACAGACAUGGGUGGUAUACAGAUGUAAAUGUUAUUAUAGCUUUUAUAUUUUAUGUUCUCUUUGAAAGAUCAUUUUGUCUUUGAAUAAUACUCCUGUUCAGAUUUUGGGGGGUUUAUCUCUAAAAUAGAAUAUGAAAUGGAUAUUGCACAUCGUAUAUUUCUUAAAAGUAAUUCGGAAUUUUAGGGUAUGGGAUUGGUGGUGACUGAUACACUGCCUGGAUGAGAUAUAUCCCUUUGAAAAUAACAGCGCCAGUACAUGCCUGCAUCUGUCUAACCUCAUAAUUCACUUUCACAUUGGGUUAUGGAUGUCUGCAUUCAGUGAGUCUAUCUUCCCUUUAGGUAUUAUUUCAGCCCUUUGAGAUAAUAAGGAAAGUUUAAUUGCGUUGUUAAUUGAUUUUUUGCACAACAUUAUUACCUUGAUUGAUUGCAGAGUUGAUGAAAAUGUUAGACACAGGCAGUGUAAAGUAUCAGCCCAGUAAGGAGUGGGAGCCUUGUGGAGAAUAGAUAACCUUGAUGUUAAGAGCUAUAUCCUUCAGAUAUGUCUUCCCUUGACAUAUUGAUGGCCCUUGAAAAGGGAAAAGCUGAUUGUAUGCAGAAUGCAAUCAUUAAACCCACUUCAGCUGGCUGUUGAUUAAUUUGUUUUUUCCUGAAGGAUCUAGUUAAAGAGAAGGCCUCACUAGUAUCAACAGCAACCAUUUUCCAGCUUCAGAUUAUUCUUAACCCUCUCCUAGAAGAAAGAAAAAUGAUACUGUCUUGGUUUAGACAGGCAAAUUGUCUGAAAACAUUCAGUCCAACUGCAAUUUGGGGAUUAUAACACUCACUUUGCCCCUUUAACUACUGCUUCCUUGACGACCUCUCCUCCUCCUGCCUUCAGUAUUCAGCUGCACUCCAGCCACAGCUAGCAGAAAGCCACGUUUGAUGUUUUCUGAGUAGGGUGAGCGCCUGUUCUCAGCAGAGAUGCCAACAGGGAAGUCAAGCUUGUUUUAUGCAAAGACUGAAGUAUUUCAGUAGCAUAUAGCUGCUUCCCAGGAGCCUCUCUGAAAGGACCAGGGGGUUUGCUGCACACACGCAUCUUGGGAAAAUGCCGCUACAUUUACUAUGGAAAACAUUCUGAAGGCAACAGAUUCAUCCGAGACGACCAGCUAUAAAACACUGCACUCUUUCGUGCCACUUCAGUCACUCCACACAAGAAGCACAAAUAGAAUCUAAAUUUUAAGCAUGUAACUAAAGUCCUCUAGUGCCUUCUGCUGACUUUGCCAGGCCUGUCAAGAUCAUCCUUCCAUCUCAGUCUGAGUAGUCACAUAGAGAUUGACAUGAUUGCCUUUAAGCAGGUCCCAUCCACCAGCGUGACAGACAGCUGUGGCAGAGCACCCGGCCUGACAGGAGGAGCAUGCUGAUGGAUUGCCUGGUCCAGCUGCUGCACGCAGGAGAGCUGGGGUCACACCUGGGCCUUCACUGAGCAUGCUCUGUUGGCUGGCACCGCACAAAAGCAGCGUGUUUAUCUCCUGCUCGCCUGUUGAGGGAGAGUGGCUGGUGAUAUCAAAGUGUUUAUAAAAGAGAAGGGCUAUAAUUUCAGAUGAAAAACCCCUUAUCUGUUCUAAGUUUUUUUUUUUUUCUUGUGAAUUAAGUGCUUUUGUUUCUGUCAUCUCCUAUAUGCUCACACACAUGCUCUUCAUAGGGUGUUCUUGGUUUUUCCACAAAUGAGCCUGUAUGAAUUAUUCUUUCUUUCAACAGGAAAAGAUGUAUCCAGAAAAUAUUUCAUCAAUUUUUGCUUAUAAGCAAAGGAAAAAAGGUUUGAACAGUUUUACAGGCAAACAAAAUUUUCUAAUUGUUAAAUAACAUCUCACAUUAAUUUACCUUGAUCUUCAGAAGAGGGGUCAUUUUUAAUACUGUGUUAGUAACAUAGGUUCUCUGUGAAGUUGGAAAGGCACUCAGUUAUGACAUUGAUAGUGUAUAUUAUUCCUGGUUUAUUACACAAUAUAUAUUUUACUUGUGUAGAGUACAUUUAGAAUUAAACACUUAAAUUUGGAAGGGAAAAAGGGCUUAAAAAGAGGGAUGUAAAAUAAAAUUGCCACCAGAUAGGUAUGAUUACUCAGGAGGGAAAAAUGUCAAUAAAAGUGACUGACGGAAUUAACAUAAUUAACAGCUUUACUAAUAUGUUCUGGAGGAAAGUUCUGUUUAAUCCCAUUUGAAGCCUACAUAAGAAAGGCUACUCUGAAGUUUUCAGUGAAAAACCAACAAUACAUAGAGUAUUUCUUGCUUCUCUAAGAAAUGGAUUGAGAUACUUAGAAUCAUGAACAUCUUUCUGUGGAAAAAAAAUCCUAAUACUUAAUAAAUAUAUCAUGUUAAGUGCUGCUUGUUACAGUGUGAUUGGCAUAGG